ACUCAUCACCAAUUGGUUUUGGUUGCAUGUGCUCACAAAUUAAAGAUUAUAGGAACAUUGGUAAACUAUAUUUCAUCAUAGCUUAGGGCACAAAUUGUUGGUUAAUUUCUUCGGCUGUUUCUGUCUACCUCUUCCAAGAAUCCGUUUCAAGGAAGUCUUGCUACCAUAUGAAUGAAGCAAAGCCCAACGCACGUUGUGAAACUACCCGUUUUUCAAACUCUGUACAAAUUUACGGAAAUACCCCUGCGUGGGUUCGUAGGAUCAUCCCAUGGUUUUCUUUUCACUCCCCUGACAGUGCUGACACUUAUCUCUCUCUUUCUCGAACCUGUCCCUCACCUCUCUUUUCUGUAUUCUCUCUCUCUCUCUCUCUCUCUCUCUCUCUUCCCGAGAACCACCGAGGGAACCACUCACACCAACACACUUUCCCAGUGAAAUCUAGAACAAUCUUACCAAAUUAGAGUGUAACUCGACCACAUGAGUCAAUUUUUGGGCUUGCAUGGACGAUCAGAUGAUGGGAAGACACUGGACUUAAUGAAACCGUGAGCUCCAAAUCCCUUUGUCCAGCUCUGGCGUGAUUCGUGUUUAAAUUUCUGUAAUUUUGGAAGGAGGUAUUCAGCACAAAGAAAAUUGGAGCUUUUUUUGUUGAGUGGUUACCUUGACUUCCGAAACAGGAUUCAGCAGUUGAUGCUCCCCUUUCAGUUUGUUGAAACGAUCGAUAACUGAUUUCAUGCUGAUAAGAAAGUCAAAGCGUUAUGGUCGUUAGAUGCAACAAUCAUGUACCUUGUAAAUAUUAUUUAGGUUUUGAUUGUAAUGAGAUAUUUUCUGUCCUUUCCUUUUUCAAUGGAUAUAUACACUUCGUAUGUUUCUCGACCAAUGUGAUUGCUAUAUAGUGUUAAUACUGUUUAUGUUAUGAAUAAUAUCUAUGUAUAUGUAUGGUACGUAA
Pyrus x bretschneideri (Chinese white pear) is the source of this 943-nucleotide long non-coding RNA. RefSeq lists it as uncharacterized. NCBI's taxonomy places the organism in Eukaryota, Viridiplantae, Streptophyta, Magnoliopsida, Rosales, Rosaceae. The transcript has 2 exons. The record is from RefSeq and is a predicted model, not a curated record.